RNAcentral lists this ribosomal RNA (404 nucleotides) under uncultured bacterium. RNAcentral describes it as "partial 16S ribosomal RNA". It matches the Rfam family "Bacterial small subunit ribosomal RNA", at positions 28 to 526 of the family's 1533-position model. The record is from RNAcentral.
GACGAACGCUGGCGGCGUGCCUAAUACAUGCAAGUCGAACGCAGUGGGGACGGGUGAGUAACACGUGGGUAACCUCCCCAUCAAAGAGGAUAACACUUGGAAACAGGUGCUAGACCAAUACUGAUGGAUGGACCCGCGGUGCAUUAGCUAGGUGUGGAGGGAACGGCUCACCAAUGCCACGAUGCAUCGGCGACCUGAGAGCGGGAUAGGCCACACUGGGACUGAGACACGGCCCAGAGUCCUACGGGAGGCAGCAGUAGGGAAUCUUCGGCAAUGGACGAAAGGCUGACCGCGAAACGCCGAGUGAGUGAAGAAGGGUUUCGGAGCGUAAAACUCUGUUGUUAGAGAAGCGGUAUCGAACCAGAAAGCCACGGCUAACUACGGGCCAGCAGCCGCGGUAAUAC